This 71-nucleotide transfer RNA is filed under the name Streptococcus pneumoniae. RNAcentral's name for it is "tRNA-Asn(gtt)". It matches the Rfam family "tRNA". From Rfam's summary of the family: Transfer RNA (tRNA) molecules are approximately 80 nucleotides in length. Their secondary structure includes four short double-helical elements and three loops (D, anti-codon, and T loops). Further hydrogen bonds mediate the characteristic L-shaped molecular structure. tRNAs have two regions of fundamental functional importance: the anti-codon, which is responsible for specific mRNA codon recognition, and the 3' end, to which the tRNAs corresponding amino acid is attached (by aminoacyl-tRNA synthetases). tRNAs cope with the degeneracy of the genetic code in two manners: having more than one tRNA (with a specific anti-codon) for a particular amino acid; and 'wobble' base-pairing, i.e. permitting non-standard base-pairing at the 3rd anti-codon position. Lineage: Bacteria; Bacillati; Bacillota; Bacilli; Lactobacillales; Streptococcaceae. The record is from RNAcentral.
UCCGCCAUAGCUCAGCUGGUAGAGCAUGACUGUUAAUCAUGAUGUCGUAGGUUCGAGUCCUACUGGCGGAG